AACGAACGCUGGCGGCAUGCCUAACACAUGCAAGUCGAACGAGACCUUCGGGUCUAGUGGCGCACGGGUGCGUAACGCGUGGGAACCUGCCCUUAGGUUCGGAAUAACUCCCCGAAAGGGGUGCUAAUACCGGAUAAUGUCUUCGGACCAAAGAUUUAUCGCCCUUGGAUGGGCCCGCGUUGGAUUAGCUAGUUGGUAGGGUAAAAGCCUACCAAGGCGACGAUCCAUAGCUGGUCUGAGAGGAUGAUCAGCCACACUGGGACUGAGACACGGCCCAGACUCCUACGGGAGGCAGCAGUGGGGAAUAUUGGACAAUGGGCGAAAGCCUGAUACAGCAAUGCCGCGUGAGUGAUGAAGGCCUUAGGGUUGUAAAGCUCUUUUACCCGGGAUGAUAAUGACAGUACCGGGAGAAUAAGCUCCGGCUAACUCCGUG
Molecule: ribosomal RNA, 433 nt
Filed under: uncultured bacterium
Lineage: Bacteria
Description: partial 16S ribosomal RNA
Rfam family: Bacterial small subunit ribosomal RNA
Source: RNAcentral